AUCAAAAGCAAGGACACACAGUACAUGAUGGAGCACUGCCCACACAGGCCAAGGAUGAUGUUUGAAAGUUGCUUUUACAGCUGCUGAGACGAUGACAGACUGCUGUCCCAGGUGUACAGAUUUACAGAGAAAAACUGGGUGGCUCCUUGUCCUCUACAAUCCACAUACCCACAGAUCAGGUUACAACCCAACGUGUGUGAAGGUGGACACCUGUGCCUGUCAGGAUCUGUAUGGAGGGAUGGCAUGGCCUGGAGCCAAGGACUGUAAACUGUGGAUUUUUAUUUUGUUGUAUAGCACGUUUUGGAUUUUCAGGGUCCUGUCAUAGAAAG
This 329-nucleotide long non-coding RNA is filed under the name Cyanistes caeruleus (blue tit). RNAcentral describes it as "lncRNA (ENSCCEG00000021265.1)". Lineage: Eukaryota; Metazoa; Chordata; Aves; Passeriformes; Paridae. The record is from RNAcentral.